This 253-nucleotide ribosomal RNA is filed under the name uncultured bacterium. RNAcentral's name for it is "partial 16S ribosomal RNA". It matches the Rfam family "Bacterial small subunit ribosomal RNA", at positions 524 to 776 of the family's 1533-position model. The record is from RNAcentral.
UACGUAGGGGGCUAGCGUUGUUCGGAUUUACUGGGCGUAAAGCGCACGUAGGCGGAUCGAUCAGUCAGGGGUGAAAUCCCAGAGCUCAACUCUGGAACUGCCUUUGAUACUGUCGAUCUGGAGUAUGGAAGAGGUGAGUGGAAUUCCGAGUGUAGAGGUGAAAUUCGUAGAUAUUCGGAGGAACACCAGUGGCGAAGGCGGCUCACUGGUCCAUUACUGACGCUGAGGUGCGAAAGCGUGGGGAGCAAACAGG